Hyla sarda is the source of this 723-nucleotide long non-coding RNA. RefSeq lists it as uncharacterized. The record is from RefSeq and is a predicted model, not a curated record. Lineage: Eukaryota; Metazoa; Chordata; Amphibia; Anura; Hylidae. The transcript has 3 exons.
CCUCACUGCUGAAGACUGGAGGCAGAAUGGGGGAUCAGCCUGGGAAUGGAGGUGGAGCUCCUAGAUUCAUGACAAGUUUGUCAGCCCUUGUCUCAGGCGGACGGUGAUUUUGGUCGCGCGGUUCCUUUUAUCUUUAUUUAUAGGUCUUGGUCAGAGGGGAUUUCAGAAACGUCACUUCCUGUCUCUUUAUUCCUCUUACUUUCACCAGAAGACAUCAAGGAAUCCUUCCUGUCCCCCCCUUGGUCAGUCCUAUAUCAUUACAUAGUUGGUCUCAGUCUAUUUCAGUAGAACCCUCAGGUGGUCCCUGUGGUGGUCUUACUACCGUCUUCUAAACCCAGCCUAAAUAGGAUAGCAAGUUAAUAUUAAGCAAGAACUCUUGUUGCCGUUAGCAACUAGGGAGUCCAUAUUGGAAGCCAAGCUGUCACCCUGCCUUAGAAGACAAUGCCAUGAGGGAAAAGACAUGGAAUGAAUGAUAAAGGAGCUUGGUUCCUUGCCCAGGGCCUUGAGGCCUUCUGCUAUUUCCAUAACAAAUAAGUCAAUGCUGAGAACCAAUUUGACCAAUGGACCAUUAGAGACAUAUCCACUUACCGGUAUAGAUGAUGAUGUCAUCCCUCCGGCCACACCCGUGAGGAUCCUGCCAAGAAGUAGCAUGGAGAUAUGUUGUGCGCUGCCCAUAAGUAGGAAACCCACGGCUGCCGGAAAAGCUGAGCACAUGAUACUGAG